UACGUAGGGUGCAAGCGUUGUCCGGAAUUAUUGGGCGUAAAGAGCUCGUAGGCGGUUCGGCAAGUCGAAUGUGAAAUCUCCACGCUCAACGUGGAGGGGUCAUUCGAUACUGCCGUGACUUGAGUACGGUAGGGGAGUGUGGAAUUCCCGGUGUAGCGGUGAAAUGCGCAGAGAUCGGGAGGAACACCCGUAGCGAAGGCGGCACUCUGGGCCGAUACUGACGCUGAGGAGCGAAAGCGUGGGGAGCGAACAGG
Molecule: ribosomal RNA, 254 nt
Filed under: uncultured bacterium
Lineage: Bacteria
Description: partial 16S ribosomal RNA
Rfam family: Bacterial small subunit ribosomal RNA
Source: RNAcentral